This 508-nucleotide ribosomal RNA is filed under the name Scaptomyza pallida. Its description in RNAcentral is "partial 16S ribosomal RNA". It matches the Rfam family "Bacterial large subunit ribosomal RNA", at positions 1828 to 2597 of the family's 2925-position model. Lineage: Eukaryota; Metazoa; Arthropoda; Insecta; Diptera; Drosophilidae. The record is from RNAcentral.
GUCUUUUUGAAUUAAAUUUAAAGUCUAACCUGCCCACUGAAAUUUUAAAUGGCCGCAGUAUUCUAACUGUGCAAAGGUAGCAUAAUCAUUAGUCUUUUAAUUGAAGGCUGGAAUGAAUGGUUGGACGAAAUAUUAACUGUUUCAUUUAAAUUUUUUAUAGAAUUUUUUUUUUAGUCAAAAAGCUAAAAUUUAUUUAAAAGACGAGAAGACCCUAUAAAUCUUUAUAUUUUGUUGAUUUUAAUUAUAAAGAUUAUUUUUGUUAUAAUCAGUAAAAAUAUUUUAUUGGGGUGAUAUUAAAAUUUAAAAAACUUUUAAUUUUUAAAACCAUUAAUAUAUGAAUAAUUGAUCCAUUAAUAAUGAUUAAAAAUUUAAGUUACUUUAGGGAUAACAGCGUAAUUUUUUUGGAGAGUUCAUAUCGAUAAAAAAGAUUGCGACCUCGAUGUUGGAUUAAGAUAUAAUUUUGGGUGUAGCCGUUCAAAUUUUAAGUCUGUUCGACUUUUAAAUUCUU